AACGAACGCUGGCGGCAUGCCUAACACAUGCAAGUCGAACGAGACCUUCGGGUCUAGUGGCGCACGGGUUCGUAACGCGUGGGAACCUGCCCUUAGGUUCGGAAUAACUCCCCGAAAGGGGUGCUAAUACCGGAUAAUGUCUUCGGACCAAAGAUUUAUCGCCUUUGGAUGGGCCCGCGUUGGAUUAGCUAGUUGUUAGGGUAAAAGCCUACCACGGCGACGAUCCAUAGCUGGUCUGAGAGGAUGAUCAGCCACACUGGGACUGAGACACGGCCCAGACGCCUACGGGAGGCAGCAGUGGGGAAUAUUGGGCAAUGGGCGAAAGCCGGAUCCAGCAAUGCGGCGUGAAUGAUGAAGGCCUGAGGGUUGUAAAGCUCUUGUACCCGGGAUGAUAAUGACAGUACCGGGAGAAUAAGCUCCGGCUAACUCCGUG
Molecule: ribosomal RNA, 433 nt
Filed under: uncultured bacterium
Lineage: Bacteria
Description: partial 16S ribosomal RNA
Rfam family: Bacterial small subunit ribosomal RNA
Source: RNAcentral